This 478-nucleotide ribosomal RNA is filed under the name uncultured bacterium. Its description in RNAcentral is "partial 16S ribosomal RNA". It matches the Rfam family "Bacterial small subunit ribosomal RNA", at positions 28 to 523 of the family's 1533-position model. The record is from RNAcentral.
GACGAACGCUGGCGGCGUGCUUAACACAUGCAAGUUGAACGGUAAGGCCCUUCGGGGUACACGAGUGGCGAACGGGUGAGUAACACGUGGGUGAUCUGCCCUGCACUUCGGGAUAAGCCUGGGAAACUGGGUCUAAUACCGGAUAGGACCACUGCCUGCAUGGGUGGUGGUGGAAAGCUUUUGCGGUGUGGGAUGGGCCCGCGGCCUAUCAGCUUGUUGGGGGGGUGAUGGCCUACCAAGGCGACGACGGGUAGCCGGCGUGAGAGGGUGACCGGCCACACUGGGACUGAGAUACGGCCCAGACUCCUACGGGAGGCAGCAGUGGGGAAUAUUGCGCAAUGGGCGCAAGCCUGAUGCAGCGACGCCGCGUGAGGGAUGACGGCCUUCGGGUUGUAAACCUCUUUCAGCACCGACGAAGCGCAAGUGACGGUAGGUGCAGAAGAAGGACCGGCCAACUACGUGCCAGCCGCCGCGGUAA